CCUACGGGUGGCAGCAGUGGGGAAUAUUGGACAAUGGGGGGAACCCUGAUCCAGCCAUGCCGCGUGUGUGAAGAAGGCCCUCGGGUUGUAAAGCACUUUCAGUGAGGAAGAACGCCUGGUGGUUAAUACCCAUCAGGAAAGACAUCACUCACAGAAGAAGCACCGGCUAACUCCGUGCCAGCAGCCGCGGUAAUACGGAGGGUGCGAGCGUUAAUCGGAAUUACUGGGCGUAAAGCGCGCGUAGGUGGCUUGAUAAGCCGGUUGUGAAAGCCCCGGGCUCAACCUGGGAACGGCAUCCGGAACUGUCAAGCUAGAGUGCAGGAGAGGAAGGUAGAAUUCCCGGUGUAGCGGUGAAAUGCGUAGAGAUCGGGAGGAAUACCAGUGGCGAAGGUGGCCUUCUGGACUGACACUGACACUGAGGUGCGAAAGCGUGGGUAGCAAACAGGAUUAGAUACCCUAGUAGUC
RNAcentral lists this ribosomal RNA (465 nucleotides) under Vreelandella stevensii. RNAcentral's name for it is "partial 16S ribosomal RNA". It matches the Rfam family "Bacterial small subunit ribosomal RNA", at positions 338 to 795 of the family's 1533-position model. The record is from RNAcentral. Lineage: Bacteria; Pseudomonadati; Pseudomonadota; Gammaproteobacteria; Oceanospirillales; Halomonadaceae.